GAUUACAAUACAAACCAACCGCAAAGGAAGGCAACGGCCGCCAGGCUCACCGCCUCACCCGCCCUCCCCGACGCCAUCCUCAACCCUGCUCGCACCACGCCGCCCCCUCGCUUCCUCUUACCCUACCCUGGGAGAUCCCUUCUUUGCUUCUCCAUCGAAACCCCAAUCUUAGCUCGCUGCCCUCUGCCACGGGGUUCUCCACCCAAGCCCAGCGUGAUUUCGCCCUGUCCAUUGGACGACUUCGCUCGCCGUAGGUCAUUCCAACCUACCUAUUAAUUGACGAGAAAUAGGGUCGGUUUCUUAGCUGGUGAUUUCUGCUCCGCCGUUAAAGAUCGUGGAGUUUCCUGACCCAGGCUUGAUUUGAGGGCGAAGAACAAGCGUAUCUUAGAUGAUAAUUUGAAGACAUUGGUUGAGAAGAUGUUUGAAAUAUCCACCAGAGCUUCUGUCACAGUAAAAUUGGUCUAUGACAACUGGAGUUUGGACCUCUGAUACUCUUAUGUUUGAGAAUUUUAUACUCUGGACGGAGCCCGAUCCACCCUGUGAUAAUUUAAUAGGUGAAGAUAAAAAUUAUUGGGAAGAAUCUGGUCUCCCACCAGCGGAUAAAACUUAAUUUUUUUGGUCACUAUUGUAUAUUGGAUAAACAUCUAGUGAGAUGAUGCCUAAGACUAAGAACACUGGAACUUGCAUUCUAAGCUGUUUUAAGAACAGGGAAGGCCUAAAAAUGUAUUAAAAAAAUGAAGUCAAGUUGGUCCCCAUGAUCAUUUUGACUCUUCGUAUGAGGGUCAACAAUCACCAGAAUAAUCAUUUUGUAUGUCAUCAAACAGGAAAUUCCUGAAUGGCGUAUAGGCUAUACCGCAGCUCAUGUUGGUAUGAUGAAUCAUAACAUCUCUAGAAUUUUGAAGAUGUAUGCCAUCUGUGUUAAGGCUGCUUCCUGGUGAAUUGAUUGUCAUGUUGAAGACCUGGACAGCUUCACAAUUGUCAAACUUGAGGUGGCACUGUGGACUGUUCUGGAUUGUGAUGCCAGUUACUGUGACAUUGUAACUCCCAUAGAAUCUCAGAGCCUGCAGAACAGAAUUAGAGAAGAAAAAAUAUGCAAAGUAUUGUUAAUCAUGUCUUGAUAUUGCUUUAUUGUUAGUGUAGCUGCAAGGCAAGAAAUCUUACAGUUGGCUUGAUCUGCGGCAGUUUCAUACUGAGCUCAGCAUUUAUCUGUCAAAGGUUUCACCAUUAGGAAUAUCUGAUGAAUAUUAUUAUUAUUAUUAGAAUGGGAUAUGAGUCUGAAGGAUGAAAGUCAGGAGUUUUUGUUGAAUAUAUAUUGUGAGAUGGUACUUAUUCCUCAAGGUGACAAGAAUUACUUUAACAAAAAAUGAACCUGGAUUGGUUUUUCUUCUCUGGUAAGCAGAUAAGAAUUCUAGAAAUUGGGAACGGUGGGCAGAUCUAUUCAUAUAUUUAUGAUGGAGAUAGAUGUUUAUGUGGCUUACUGGAUCAACAUCAGACUCCAUAGUUGUCCACCAUACACUGCCUUGCCCUUCUAUUGUUCCACUGCCUUGAAUUGAUAUUCCUUGCAGCUUUGAGAACUCAAUCCACCACAGUAGCCCAGAACCCCACCUUUUGGCAUCAGUUGGAGCAAUGAUCAUUCCAUCCAGCUGCAAGAGAGUUCAGCUGCAAGAGAGUUCAGUUCUACAGAGCAUAUCAGUUUUCUCCUUUUGUUUGGACCCUGCUGGUAAACUUAGUUAAACCUUUUCUUUGGAGGAAGGAAUAACUUAAAUUAAA
Non-coding RNA from Musa acuminata subsp. malaccensis (wild Malaysian banana), 1770 nucleotides. The record is from RefSeq and is a predicted model, not a curated record. Lineage: Eukaryota; Viridiplantae; Streptophyta; Magnoliopsida; Zingiberales; Musaceae.